UACCAAGCUUGAGAGAGGAGGCACAACUGAUGAAGUGAACAGUGAAUCCCCCAGGUACUUGCAGUUAUCAUGAUCCACUUUCAUAGAGCUUGGAAUCAUAAAACUUUCACAAGGACUGGAAGAAGCUAAUGGGGAAGGAAAGGAUUUACUCGUUAACGAACUGCUGCUACUGGGUUGGCUUCUUUUCUUCGAACCAGUCCACCGCAAUUUGGUG
RNAcentral lists this unclassified non-coding RNA (214 nucleotides) under Hevea brasiliensis (rubber tree). Lineage: Eukaryota; Viridiplantae; Streptophyta; Magnoliopsida; Malpighiales; Euphorbiaceae. The record is from RNAcentral.